RNAcentral lists this transfer RNA (70 nucleotides) under Klebsiella pneumoniae. Its description in RNAcentral is "tRNA-Sec". The record is from RNAcentral. Lineage: Bacteria; Pseudomonadati; Pseudomonadota; Gammaproteobacteria; Enterobacterales; Enterobacteriaceae.
GGAAGAUCGUCAUCUCCGGUGAGGUGGCUGGACUUCAAAUCCAGUUGGGGCCGCCUGUGAUCUUCCGCCA